UCGAAUGGAAGCUUGCUUCCGUUCGGUUAGCGGCGGACGGGUGAGUAACACGUGGGCAACCUGCCCGUAAGACCGGGAUAACUUCGGGAAACCGGAGCUAAUACCGGAUAACACCGAAGACCGCAUGGUCUUUGGUUGAAAGACGGCUUUGGCUGUCACUUACGGAUGGGCCCGCGGCGCAUUAGCUAGUUGGUGAGGUAACGGCUCACCAAGGCGACGAUGCGUAGCCGACCUGAGAGGGUGAUCGGCCACACUGGGACUGAGACCCGGCCCAGACUCCUACGGGAGGCAGCAGUAGGGAAUCUUCCGCAACGGACGAAAGUCUGACGGAGCAACGCCGCGUGAGCGAAGAAGGUCUUCGGAUUGUAAAGCUCUGUUGUUGGGGAAGAAC
Molecule: ribosomal RNA, 391 nt
Filed under: uncultured Bacillaceae bacterium
Lineage: Bacteria; Bacillati; Bacillota; Bacilli; Caryophanales; Bacillaceae
Description: bacterial SSU rRNA
Rfam family: Bacterial small subunit ribosomal RNA
Source: RNAcentral